This 253-nucleotide ribosomal RNA is filed under the name uncultured bacterium. Its description in RNAcentral is "partial 16S ribosomal RNA". It matches the Rfam family "Bacterial small subunit ribosomal RNA", at positions 524 to 776 of the family's 1533-position model. The record is from RNAcentral.
GACGUAGGGGGCCAGCGUUGUUCGGAAUUACUGGGCGUAAAGGGCUCGUAGGCGGCCAACUAAGUCGGAUGUGAAAUCCCCAGGCUCAACCUGGGAACUGCAUCCGAUACUGGAUGGCUUGAAUUCGGGAGAGGGAUGCAGAAUUCCAGGUGUAGCGGUGAAAUGCGUAGAUAUCUGGAGGAAUACCGGUGGCGAAGGCGGCAUCCUGGACCGACAUUGACGCUGAGGAGCGAAAGCCAGGGGAGCAAACGGG